This 497-nucleotide ribosomal RNA is filed under the name uncultured bacterium. RNAcentral describes it as "partial 16S ribosomal RNA". It matches the Rfam family "Bacterial small subunit ribosomal RNA", at positions 28 to 507 of the family's 1533-position model. The record is from RNAcentral.
GAUGAACGCUGGCGGCGUGCCUAAUACAUGCAAGUCGAGCGAACAGACGAGGAGCUUGCUCCUCUGACGUUAGCGGCGGACGGGUGAGUAACACGUGGAUAACCUACCUAUAAGACUGGGAUAACUUCGGGAAACCGGAGCUAAUACCGGAUAAUAUAUUGAACCGCAUGGUUCAAUAGUGAAAGACGGUUUUGCUGUCACUUAUAGAUGGCUCCGCGCCGCAUUAGCUAGUUGGUAAGGUAACGGCUUACCAAGGCGACGAUGCGUAGCCGACCUGAGAGGGUGAUCGGCCACACUGGAACUGAGACACGGUCCAGACUCCUACGGGAGGCAGCAGUAGGGAAUCUUCCGAAAAGGGCGAAAGCCUGACGGAGCAACGCCGCGUGAGUGAUGAAGGUCUUCGGAUCGUAAAACUCUGUUAUUAGGGAAGAACAAAUGUGUAAGUAACUAUGCACGUCUUGACGGUACCUAAUCAGAAAGCCACGGCUAACUACGUG